Molecule: long non-coding RNA, 1403 nt
Organism: Chelonia mydas (Green sea turtle)
Lineage: Eukaryota; Metazoa; Chordata; Testudines; Cheloniidae
Exons: 3
Source: RefSeq, a predicted model, not a curated record
AGGGAAGAGUAGUGGUGGACCUGCUCACCCUGCACCAGCUCGGGGAAUAACUACCCAAGAACACAAGCUCAGCAGCUGGCUGAGUUCUGCCUUGCCCUGACUUGCUAGCCACUGUCUUUGCCUCCCUUUUGCUGCAUUCAGUCUGCCUUUUCCAUAGUUUGCCCCCCUUCCCUAGGGUGAUCAGACGUCCCGAUUUUUAGGUCUUUGUCCCGCGUCCCGACCGAUGCACGGUCGGGACGCCAUUUGUCCCAAUAUUGUGGCCUUGGCUGCUCUGCUUUUUUUGCUUCUGCAACUCCAGCCGCCUUUUUUUUUUUUUUUUUUGCUUCCCCCAAGUGUCCCGAGAUUUUCUCCCUUUCAUCUGGUCAUCCUACCCUUCCCUGAGAUUUUCUUCCUCCAGACCACUUCAAUCUUCUGCUCCCCUUAGCCGCCUCUGCCCUGCGGGGAGCAACCGGCAGCCUCCACCCCUGGAGACAAGCAGGGAAGGCAGAAGGAGAGGGGGUGGGAAAAAGAUAGGAACCAAAGCAAAUAUAGCCUCAGAUCAUGCAAACGUGUGUUUGUUUGUGCGUGUGUUACAGGUCUUUGUGCCAAGCCACAGAGGAUUGGAGGCUGCUACAGACGCACUACUAGAUAUAGAAUUAGCCCCAGCUAUUGCAAUUCAUGCUUUUCCAGCCACGAGGUUCCCGGUUCAAUCCCUGCAGUGCCAGCCAAGAGGGCAGCCCUAUCACAGCCCCCCUCCCCCGUCCUUUAAGCCUGCGAGUAGUUGGCAUGAGGCGGCUGAAGUUAAGCACAUGCGCCCCCCUACCCCAUGGCAAGCGCCAGCCCAGCCCUGGGCAUUUGCAGGGUGGCCCUGCCCAUGGCGGGCUGCAGUGCUGCGGCUCUGCCAGCAGGUGGUGCUGUGUGAGGUUAUAAAUCAGCCCGGCCGCCGCCCCCACGUGGUGAUCCGAGACGGUGCCUGCCCGCGUGGGGGGCUCGGAGUGUUUGGUUCCCCCUGGGCCCCCAGCUCCUCGUCACCCCCCUCUUUCGGGCUGCACGUGGCCAAGAUCUGAUGAGGCACAUCCUUGACCUUCUGACUAAAGCACCUCGAUCCUACCGGAAACCAGCACAGUUCAUCUCAAAGCGUCUUCCUUGUCCACUCCCCAUCGUGCAACGCUUCUGCCAUCAAAGUUAAGUCCUGAAGCCAGCAGAGCCUGCUUUGCCCCUGGUGGUGGUGAAGAGGCAAGUAGGAUUCCAGGUAGCAAACGCUGCGCGAGGGAAGAGACGUUACAGUGCUUCACGCUGCCGAGGCCCUGCCGGAGGUGGUGGGCCAGCUGUCUUCUAUGGCAAAAGUGUUGAUUUCUAAUAUGUAUUAAAAGUUACCUUGCUCCAGACUAAUAUCACAAUGUGAGACUUUCACCUUUUCUUUA